AUGGAUGGAAACCUUAAGAUCAUUUUUUGGAAUGUCCGAGGCCUAAACUCUCGUGCUAAACGUUCUGCAGUCCGUAGCGUUAUUUCCUCCGCUGCCCCUUGCGUCGUUUGCCUCCAGGAAACGAAGCUUGCUCACAUGUCGGACUCUCUGGUGCUGGAAACACUGGGCGCCCCCUUC
RNAcentral lists this ribosomal RNA (177 nucleotides) under Triticum aestivum (bread wheat). RNAcentral's name for it is "partial small subunit ribosomal RNA". The record is from RNAcentral. Lineage: Eukaryota; Viridiplantae; Streptophyta; Magnoliopsida; Poales; Poaceae.